CACGCACGCACACACACACACCCAGAGAGUCUUAUUCUAUUGGCAACAUUUUUCUACAUGGACUGGAUAAGCUGUGUGUGUUUGUGUGUGUGUGUGUGCGUGUGUGUGAUCACGUUUAGAGUGAUCUAGAUGAUAUUUACCUUGGUGCCCCUGCGCAUCAGCCCAGUUCAACCCGUGCGGAUUCUCGUAGCACUUGGCGCGCGGAUUCCUCAAACAUUACAACUUUCCUCAACUGUCAGCUAUCCUGAAACCUGAAAGAGUUCAGUAAUACGUUCCUGCACACUCUGCUACUUCGUUAAAAAUCGUGUUUGCAGGAGCCUGUGGUGGUAGAUGGUGUUUGUGGUGAGCUUGCUUGGCUUCCUCUACAUUCAACACCUUCCACUCCUUCCCUUACAGCAAGUACUUUGGCUGCAUUGUGAACGGAAUAAUCUUGUCUAUUUUUAUUUGUAUUUUUGUUAUACUUGAAGUGUAAAAAUAUAUAUUUUUGCUGUUUGUAUUCUGUUGAAGUUUAAUAAAUGA
Astyanax mexicanus (Mexican tetra) is the source of this 519-nucleotide long non-coding RNA. RefSeq lists it as uncharacterized. The record is from RefSeq and is a predicted model, not a curated record. The transcript is spliced from 3 exons. Lineage: Eukaryota; Metazoa; Chordata; Actinopteri; Characiformes; Acestrorhamphidae.